This 462-nucleotide ribosomal RNA is filed under the name uncultured bacterium. RNAcentral's name for it is "partial 16S ribosomal RNA". It matches the Rfam family "Bacterial small subunit ribosomal RNA", at positions 28 to 507 of the family's 1533-position model. The record is from RNAcentral.
GACGAACGCUGGCGGCGUGCUUAACACAUGCAAGUCGAACGGAAAGGCCCUUCGGGGUACUCGAGUGGCGAACGGGUGAGUAACACGUGGGUGAUCUGCCCUGCACUUUGGGAUAAGCCUGGGAAACUGGGUCUAAUACCGAAUAGGACCACGCGCUUCAUGGUGUGUGGUGGAAAGCUUUUGCGGUGUUGGAUGGGCCCGCGGCCUAUCAGCUUGUUGGUGGGGUAAUGGCCUACCAAGGCGACGACGGGUAGCCGGCCUGAGAGGGUGACCGGCCACACUGGGACUGAGAUACGGCCCAGACUCCUACGGGAGGCAGCAGUGGGGAAUAUUGCACAAUGGGCGCAAGCCUGAUGCAGCGACGCCGCGUGAGGGAUGACGGCCUUCGGGUUGUAAACCUCUUUCAAUAGGGACGAAGCGCAAGUGACGGUACCUAUAGAAGAAGCACCGGCCAACUACGUG